Regulatory RNA element from Phalacrocorax carbo (great cormorant), 46 nucleotides. It matches the Rfam family "Histone 3' UTR stem-loop". Rfam says of the family: The mRNAs of metazoan histone genes lack a poly-A tail. 3' end processing occurs at a site between a highly conserved stem-loop (modelled by this family) and a purine rich region around 20 nts downstream (the histone downstream element, or HDE). The record is from Rfam. Lineage: Eukaryota; Metazoa; Chordata; Aves; Suliformes; Phalacrocoracidae.
CCAAAGGCUUUUUUAAAAGCCAUUCCAUGCAGAAUAAAAAUUUAAU